This 85-nucleotide transfer RNA is filed under the name Aliidongia dinghuensis. Its description in RNAcentral is "tRNA-Leu". It matches the Rfam family "tRNA". From Rfam's summary of the family: Transfer RNA (tRNA) molecules are approximately 80 nucleotides in length. Their secondary structure includes four short double-helical elements and three loops (D, anti-codon, and T loops). RNAcentral also lists the same sequence under 1 other name. The record is from RNAcentral. Lineage: Bacteria; Pseudomonadati; Pseudomonadota; Alphaproteobacteria; Rhodospirillales; Dongiaceae.
GAGGACGUGGUGGAACCGGUAGACACCUCAGACUUAAAAUCUGACGCCUUCGGGCAUGCGGGUUCGAGUCCCGCCGUCCUCACCA